This 136-nucleotide microRNA precursor is filed under the name Hordeum vulgare. Its description in RNAcentral is "microRNA MIR1122". It matches the Rfam family "MIR1120/MIR1122 microRNA precursor family". Lineage: Eukaryota; Viridiplantae; Streptophyta; Magnoliopsida; Poales; Poaceae. The record is from RNAcentral.
UUAAUACUCCCUCCGUUUUAAAUUUUGUGUCUUAGAUUUGUUUAGAUAUGAAUGUAUCUAGUCAAGUUUUAGUAUUUAGAUACAUCCAUUUCUAAACAAAGUUAAGACAAUAAUUUUGGAAUGGAGGGAGUAUAAA